AUGGCCCCAAUUCCUGGCUCCCAGAAGCCAUCCCAGUCCUCUGAACCCUCCAAACAAGUUCAGUGUCCUGGCUCCCAAAAACCUGUUCAAGGCUCUAGCUCCCCAAAGUUAGCUCAGAUAACCUGCUCCCAGAGAAUGGUACAGCCUUCUGAGCCCCCCAAACAGCCUCAGGGUUCUUGUCCUCAGAAGCCAGCCCAAACUUCUGACUCCCCAAAACAGUCUCCAUCCUCUGGCCCCCAGGAGCCAGCCCUGCCCUUGGGGUCCUCAAAACAGAGCCAGCCUUCUGAUUCCCCUAAACAGGCUCAGUGCUCUGGUCCUCAUAAUCUGGUUGAGUCUUCUGAACCCCGACAAAAGGCUCAAUUUUAUGACCCUCAAAAGUCAGUUCAGCCUUCUGACUCCCCAAAAGAGGCUCAGUUCUCUAGCCUCCAGAAGUCGGCUCAGACUUCUGACCUCCCAAAACAGGCCCAGUGCUCUAACCCUCAUAAAUUGGAUAAGACCCUAGACCCCCAUAAAUUAGCACAGUCAGCUGAACUGCACUCUUCCCCACCAAAGUUGUCCCAGAUGACUAACUCCCCAAAACAAGCUCAAUUAUCUGGCCCCCAGAAGUUAAUCCAGGCCUAUGAUCCUCCAAAACAGGUUCAGUUUUCUGGCUUGCUGAAACCAGCUCAAUCUUUGGAUCCCCCAAAACAGAUUCAAUUCUUGGACCCCCAGAAGUCAGCCCAGUCUUCUGACCCUCCGAAACAGGCCCAGAACUCUGCUCCCCAGAAGCUGGCUCAGCUCUCUGACCUCCCAAAACAGGCUCAGUUUUCUGGCCCCCAAAAGGUGGCUCAGCCCUCUGAUCUCUCAAAACAGGUUCGGUUCUCUGAUCUGGUGAAACCUGCUCAACUUUCUGAUCCCCCAAAACAGGCUCAAUUCUCUAGCCCCCAAAAGCCAGUCCAGUCUGAUGACUUCCCCAAACAGGUUCAAUUCUCUUGCCCCCAGAAAUUAGCACAGCCAUCUGACCACCCUAAGCAGACCCAGCACUCUGUGUCUCCAAAGCUGGCCCAGAUCACUGACCCCUCAAAACAGGCUCAGUUAUCCGGUCGUCAGAAGCCAGCCCAGACUUCUGCCUCUCUGACACAGCACCAGCACUGUGUCUCCCAGAAGUUGGCUCAGCCUUUGGACCCCCCAAAACAGGUUCAAUUUUCUGACCCCUCAAAGCAUGCUCAGUGCCCUGGCUCUCAGAAGUCAGCCCAGUUUUCUGACCUUCCAAAACAGGCCCAGCAUUCUGCUCCCCAGAAGUUGGCUCAACCCUAUGACCCCCCAAUACAGGUUCAAUUCUCUAGCCCCCAGAAGCCAGCCCUGCUCUCUGACCCCUCAAAACAUGCUCAGUACCCUGGCUCUCAGAAGUCAGCCCAGUGUUCUGACCCAAAACAGGAUCAGGAUUCUGCUCCCCAGAAGUUGUCUCAGCCCUCUGACCCCCCAAUACAGGUUCAAUUCUCUGGCCCCCGGAAGUUGGCCCAGCCCUCUGACCCCCUAUUACAGGCUCAAUUCCCUGGCGUUCAGAAGUCUGCUCAGCCCUCUGGCCCCUCAAAACAGGUUCAAUUCUCUGGUCCCCAGAAGCCAGCCUUGCUCUCUGACCCCCCAAAACAUGCUCAUUGCUCUGACCCUCAGAAGUCAGCCCAGUCUUCUGACCCAAAACAAGAUCAGCAUUCUACCCUCCAGAAAGUGGCUCAGCCUUCUGAUCUCCCCAAACAAACUGAAUUUUCUGCUCCCCAGAAGUCAGCUCAGCCCUCUGGCCCCCCAAAACAGGCUCAAUUCUCUGGCUCCCAGAAGCCAUCCCAGCCCUCUGACUCCCUAAAACAUGCUCAUUGCUCUGGCCUUCAGAAGUUAGCCCAGCCUUCUGACCUCAAACAGGAUCAGAAAUUGGCUCCGCUCUCUGAUCCCCCCAAACAGGCUCAGAUUGCUAUCCCCCAGAAGCCAGCUCAGCCCUCUGGCCCCCUAAAACAGGUUCAGUUCUCUAGCCCCCCAAAGCUAGCCCAGCUCUCUGACCCCACAAAACAGGUUCAGUGCACUGGCCUUGAGAGGCUAGUUGAUAGCCCAGACUCCCAGAAAUCAGCACGGGCAUCUGACCCCCCAAAGCAAGUUCAGGCUUCUAAUUCCCCAAAGUUAGCUGUGGCCAUCCACUCCCAGAUGCCAGCUCCCAAACAGGCUCAGAGUUCUGGACCCCAGAAGCCAGCCCAAAUUGUCAGCCCUUCGAAGCUGGCUCAAGGCCCCAGCCCUCAGCUGCAGGCCUCCAGACAAGGCCCCUCCAUCCCGGGCCCCAGACCCCGACCCAGUUCCCCACACAAUCCCAAGGUCCCUAUCCCCCUAACCCGAGGUCCUCUCCCUUAUCCUCCUUCAGGGCCCCCCAAGCCCAGCUCUGGGAUCCAGGGGGCCACUACUACUCCUCAGGGGUCUUUUCCUGGUCAGGGUGGGUUGUCACAGACCCCUCCCCAAGGUGGUUCUAUUCCUCUUACCCAGAGUGCCUGGGUCCCAGGGAGCUGGGCCCAGGGCCCAGGAGGAGAUAUCGGAAUCAGGUGGAGCCGGGGGGGCCAGAUGGAAACAGGGGGUUCAGUUUCCUCUGGCUCUGGCCUCUGCUGA
Long non-coding RNA from Vombatus ursinus (common wombat), 2622 nucleotides. The record is from Ensembl. Lineage: Eukaryota; Metazoa; Chordata; Mammalia; Diprotodontia; Vombatidae.